This 301-nucleotide ribosomal RNA is filed under the name uncultured bacterium. Its description in RNAcentral is "partial 16S ribosomal RNA". It matches the Rfam family "Bacterial small subunit ribosomal RNA", at positions 509 to 807 of the family's 1533-position model. The record is from RNAcentral.
CAGUAGCCGCGGUAAUACGGAGGGUGCGAGCGUUAAUCGGAAUUACUGGGCGUAAAGCGUACGCAGGCGGUUUGUUAAGUCAGAUGUGAAAUCCCCGAGCUUAACUCGGGAACUGCAUUUGAAACUGGCAGGCUAGAGUCUCGUAGAGGGGGGUAGGAUUCCAGGUGUAGCGGUGAAAUGCGUAGAGAUCUGGAGGAAUACCGGUGGCGAAGGCGGCCCCCUGGACGAAGACUGACGCUCAGGUACGAAAGCGUGGGGAGCAAACAGGAUUAGAGACCCCAGUAGUCCCUGUCUCUUAUAC